GACGAGUGUGAUUCUGUCUGGGAACACGAGGUUUUAUGUCACCAGAGCCACUAAGUGAGAGAGAGCGGGAGGCUGAGCGCUCGGAGCCAUCGACGGAUCGGAGACUGUGCGGGGAACAGGGAAUCGUGCAUUAGGGCCCAUGCCUCCUCCAGGCAGCGAGAUACAUGUGCAGGCUGCAAGCCUCCUUCCUUCCAGCUCAACCUCAAGACUAUAAUCCAUCUAUAUGAAUGAGUAAUGAGUCAUCAAUCAUUAAGGAAUCAUCCUCAAUGUGGUUUUGACAAAAAAAAUGAAAAAUUCACAUUAUAUCAAACAGAUACCUCGAGCAUCAUAACUAGGACUUGUAACAAAAAUGAGGCUCCAACUGUUCCCAGGCUUCCUGGACGCGUGCUUUUCUAUCUGGGGCCAGUAGCUGCCUGCAACCUCUGCCAAAGGGCCCACCCAGAGUGGGCAGGGGCUUCCAGCAGAAGUGUGGGCUGCCAACAAGAAGCGGGACUUUGGCUGGCUUCGCGGCUGGAACCCAGGAUGGUGGGGGCUCCCGGGCUUGAGCACAAACCCCUUACUCCCAACACAGAGACAGGUGUGCACGAAUCUGCACCCAGCCGCCAGUUAGAACAACAUUUUUUUUCACCCAGGCUCCAUAAAUCAGCCCUCUAAUCUUUCACUGUCCGGCGGGGUCCCUCGCUGAGAAUGUGAUGAAUGGGCCUCCCAGCCCCUGACAACUGCUGUGAAAUCACUCAGAGCCCAAGACAAACCUUUAAAUCUGACGUUAUAGAGUGUUGAAAGGAGAAAUGUCUGUUUUCAUAACCUACCUCAGUUAUAAUAAAUAUUUAA
Sarcophilus harrisii (Tasmanian devil) is the source of this 831-nucleotide long non-coding RNA. RefSeq lists it as uncharacterized. NCBI's taxonomy places the organism in Eukaryota, Metazoa, Chordata, Mammalia, Dasyuromorphia, Dasyuridae. The transcript has 3 exons. The record is from RefSeq and is a predicted model, not a curated record.